CAAGCCAUGAAACUUGUUCCCCUGAACCAUUGCAAUGAGACCGCUUUUGAUCUCAAAGUUGUUGUUAUGUACUGGAGGUGGAACAAUUCCAUGACGCUAGUUGUGGUUGUGAGGGAAGUCAUCAGCACCAAUGUUGGUAGGUUUCUCUUGCUCAUCUACAAUGCCAGCCAUUGUGUCUGUUUCUGUCUGUUAUCUCUGUUGGCGAGCAGUACGGUCGAUGUUAUCGUUGAAUAGGAGGUUCUGAUUUCCUUGUGGCCGUGUAUGCAUGCAACAUAUAGCAGCCUGGCUAUGAAAGACGAAUCAGAGAUGUGUCUGUAAAGAGGGUUGCAAGGUACCAAAAACACAAAGACAGAAAAGGCACAAUGUUAGUAACUUGUGUAACAAAAACGAACUUGAUCUUAACGUUUCUAAUGAUCUAAAAUAUAGCAAACAAACACCAAACUCGCAACGGCACCAAAUUGAUAAUAGGAUUUUUAGUCAAUUAAUCCUAAAACACUAUCCUGUCGUUGUAGUAUUUUAGGUUGUCAAUCUAAUCUGGUGUGAUGCAAACAGAUGAGAUAUGAUUAGAAAGCUCUAAGUCAAGCCAAUCAGAGAGUUGGUUGGUUCUAACAGUCCUAGUAUGCAAAAACAGAAAUGAAAUGAAACUAAAAGCAUAAAUGGCAAUAACAGGCAGGUGAAUAACUAAGCAGAAAUGAUAACAGGCAGUCAAAUGGAUAAACGAUUCCUAAGGAUGGGGUAAUCGAAUAGUGUGGUCUCCUUAAUCUAUUCAGGCGGUUGAAAAAACUUCACAGAAGCUAUCCCAAGACAACAAGUUCAACAACCGAUUAAUUCAAUCCCGUGAUAGAAAUCCUCAAGCAAAGCUAGACACUGACCUAAUUCCCAUUAGCGAUCUCUAACUAAGCAGGCAUUAUCGAAUCAACUUGUUAAAGCCAAAACCCUCUCUACAGCCAAUCCCUUGGGGUAGAGGCAGAUAUCUCUAGAAUUAAUAGGAUCCAACGCCCAUUAAACGCCUUCUGAGCGCUGGACGUCUGGACUCAUAUUCCACAUUAGCCAGUGAAACAAGCAAUAAGCGCAACUAAUCCAGAAGGGAUUCUAGUAUUCUAAACUCAACCACCUAAAACGACCAAGUAAACCACAACUAAUCUAUCCCAUCCUCAUAAAUACGGUUCACUACUUAGACAUAAUCAAAGACAAUAGCCAAGCAACGAUUGAAACUAAUAACAAAAAGGCUUAAACGAAAAUUGAAUAUCAAAUACUUGAAAGUGAAAAAAUACAAAGUCGGAGGAGAAACACUACGGCUAUGAAAGUUGCGAAAUGUAAAAGUGGAUGAAAAACGAGAUAAAAAAUGAUUGCCCUAGGGAAAACCCUAAGAGGCUACUUAUAUCAGGGAAAAUGAAACAAAUAAGGAAACUAGAUAUAUAGCUAAUCUUCACGUUAUGACCCUGCGAUCGAAUGUGUCAUUGGCAUCUGAUGGGCUGAUAUGAGCUUCCCAGUGAUCGAGUAUGUCAUUGAUCAAACUUGGCUUCAGGGACUCCGCCUUGCGAUCGAGUGAGAUGCUGUGAAGACAAGAUUGAAUGGUCUAGCGACCCUGUAAUCGAGUGCGAUCGAGUGGAUGUCAUGAGGUGGCUAUCGAGUGGUUGCUUCGGCUUCUCUUCUCUUCUUCGUUCUCAGCUUGUCUGGUUGAGUGCAGAACGAGCAGAUAGGCCUCUUGGUGAUCGAGUGGUUCUGAUGGGGUGAUUCCUCCGGCUUCGCGAUUGAGUGAAACUGAGCUGCUAGCUUCUCCGGGGUUUCGAUAGAGUGAUUUGCCCUGGCAGGGCUCCGAGGCUGCGAUAGAGUACUUUUGCUGAAUGCGUCAUUGGGCAUUUUGACUUUCCGUUCUGUUUCUCCUUUGUUUGAACUCCAAAAGCAUCAAAGGUACCUGAAAACAACCAAAUAUGCAAUGUACAUGCAAUCCUAAUGCAAAAUCGUCCUAAGUAUGCAAAAGACACUAAAACGACUCCUAAUGAGAUGAAAUGUGGAUAAAACAAUGACAAAGUGGUGAAGAAUGAAUGCCUAAAUCAUGCAAAUUAUAGACAUCUCAUUGGCCUUUGUAGUGAACCGUGCUAUCGUGGGGUCUUGUAACAAUGUUACUUGAUCGCCAUGAAGUGCGAAGAACUCAGAGAGACAGGGUUAGCUACCCUGGCCGAGUGUCUACACGACGGUGUAACGUUUGGUAGUGAUGCUCCGGUUAUUUACCUUUGUGGUUGUAACACGGGAGAUCACGGGAGUGUGUGUGUUUGGUGUUGGGAUUGAAGGCAGCAUAUCGGGCUCUUUAAAACUUAAU
RNAcentral lists this small RNA (2323 nucleotides) under Arabidopsis thaliana (thale cress). Its description in RNAcentral is "ATSL040650". The record is from RNAcentral. Lineage: Eukaryota; Viridiplantae; Streptophyta; Magnoliopsida; Brassicales; Brassicaceae.